Molecule: ribosomal RNA, 253 nt
Filed under: uncultured bacterium
Lineage: Bacteria
Description: partial 16S ribosomal RNA
Rfam family: Bacterial small subunit ribosomal RNA
Source: RNAcentral
UACGUAGGGCGCAAGCGUUAUCCGGAAUUAUUGGGCGUAAAGAGCUUGUAGGCGGUCUGUCGCGUCUGCUGUGAAAAUCCGGGGCUCAACCCCGGACUUGCAGUGGGUACGGGCAGACUAGAGUGUGGUAGGGGAGACUGGAAUUCCUGGUGUAGCGGUGAAAUGCGCAGAUAUCAGGAGGAACACCGAUGGCGAAGGCAGGUCUCUGGGCCGAUACUGACGCUGAGGAGCGAAAGCGUGGGGAGCGAACAGG